Small nuclear RNA from Panthera leo (lion), 84 nucleotides. Its record names the gene U4. It matches the Rfam family "U4 spliceosomal RNA". Rfam says of the family: U4 small nuclear RNA (U4 snRNA) is a component of the major U2-dependent spliceosome. The structure of U4 snRNA from yeast and human has been reported. NCBI's taxonomy places the organism in Eukaryota, Metazoa, Chordata, Mammalia, Carnivora, Felidae. The record is from Ensembl.
AGCUUUGCGCAGUGGCAGUAUCAUAGCCAAUGAGGUUUAUCCAAGGUGCGAUUAUUGCUAAUUGAAAACUUUUCCCAAAGCAGC